UACGGAGGGAGCUAGCGUUGUUCGGAAUUACUGGGCGUAAAGCGCACGUAGGCGGCUUGGCAAGUCGGAUGUGAAAUCCCUCGGCUCAACCAAGGAAGUGCAUCCGAAACUGCUGAGCUUGAGUACUUAAGAGGAUCGCGGAAUUCCCGGUGUAGAGGUGAAAUUCGUAGAUAUCGGGAGGAACACCAGUGGCGAAGGCGGCGAUCUGGGAAGAUACUGACGCUGAGGAGCGAAAGCGUGGGGAGCGAACAGG
RNAcentral lists this ribosomal RNA (253 nucleotides) under uncultured bacterium. Its description in RNAcentral is "partial 16S ribosomal RNA". It matches the Rfam family "Bacterial small subunit ribosomal RNA", at positions 524 to 776 of the family's 1533-position model. The record is from RNAcentral.